Small nucleolar RNA from Pteronotus mesoamericanus, 215 nucleotides. RefSeq annotates it as small nucleolar RNA U3. Lineage: Eukaryota; Metazoa; Chordata; Mammalia; Chiroptera; Mormoopidae. The transcript has a single exon. The record is from RefSeq and is a predicted model, not a curated record.
AAAACUAUACUUUCAGGGACCAUUUCUAUCGUUGACUACUAGAGAAGUUUCUCUGAACAUGUAAAGCACCCAAAACCACGAGACGGAGGCAUAGGGUUCUCUCCUGAGUGUGAAGCCAGCUUUUUGGUGGUGUCUCCAUAACUGCCAGUAGCAAUUGAUGAUCGUUCUUGUCUUCCUUUGGAAGAGUAAGAGGGAGAGGGCACAGUCUGAGUGGC